UUAACCGGUGCCUCGCUCGAACAUGAUGUUCUCGGUGGGCGGCUUUGAAUUUGGCCCACUGCAGUCGAUUGAGAGUAAAUGUAUCUUGUGGGCCCGCUUGAUGACCAUUAUGAGGCUAGGCAGUGCGCAGGAUGGAGCAUAUUGGAGCAGAGGCGCUCCGCGCUUUCGCCAUGGAUGGCAUGGAGUUCUUCUACGAGAAAUCAGAUGCAGGGCAGGUUCGCUCCUCCUUUGGAUGUCGAGGUUGUCUUGAGAGAUGGAGUUCGCGACGCGCCCUCGAUUGAUGAUGAGACCAGCGGAACUGCUGGUGUCCAAGAUGGCUUGAUUUCUUCCAAGCCAGUGCGUAGGGAUGGGUACCCCUGGAAUACGAAGCAGUUGAGCAGACGGAACAAAUAUUCGUCACCGAGAGGGAUUGCGGCUCGUACAAAGGGUGGCCGAUUCAUGUGAGCUAGGCACUGGAAAUAUUAGCGGUGAUACGGCAUCAGAGGAUGGAGAGGAGGACGGCGUGGUCGUGUCAAAGUCAAAGGGAUCUUGUUGGACCAGGAGGUGACUUGCCUUGUUCUUCAUUCUAAACCUGUCACCUGAUGUUUGCUAUAUAUUUUCUGUAGCUGUCUUUGUGUGAAAUUCAGAAGAAGCCUGCUCA
Molecule: long non-coding RNA, 640 nt
Organism: Triticum aestivum (bread wheat)
Lineage: Eukaryota; Viridiplantae; Streptophyta; Magnoliopsida; Poales; Poaceae
Exons: 2
Source: RefSeq, a predicted model, not a curated record